GCUGGGCGUGGUGGCGGGCGCCUGUAAUCCCAGCUGCUCAGGAGGCUGAGGUAGGAGAAUCGCUUGAACCCGGGAGGUGGAGGUUGCAGUGAGCCAAGAUUGCGUCACUGCACUCCAGCCUGGGAGACAGAGUGAUACUCCAUCUCUU
RNAcentral lists this non-coding RNA (148 nucleotides) under Chlorocebus sabaeus (green monkey). The record is from Rfam by way of RNAcentral. Lineage: Eukaryota; Metazoa; Chordata; Mammalia; Primates; Cercopithecidae.